Non-coding RNA from Hydra vulgaris (swiftwater hydra), 495 nucleotides. The record is from RefSeq and is a predicted model, not a curated record. NCBI's taxonomy places the organism in Eukaryota, Metazoa, Cnidaria, Hydrozoa, Anthoathecata, Hydridae.
CAGAAUGAGAAUGUUAAAACUAGUAAUGAAGAAGACCAGAUCACACCAGUUUGCUUACCUAACUUAAAUUUGUUUAAAUGUGCAAAUGAGUUUAAUGGUCCUGUACUUGCCAUAGAUAAGGAUGAGGAAGUUAAAAAUAGUAACAAAGAAGACCAGAACACGCCAGUUUGUUUACCUAACUUAGUAUUUUAAUUAAUUCGAUUACUUUUAUUUGCAUAAUUUAAAUAAGACACAGACUGGGAAAUAAAGGUUUUGACCUGUAUUUAGUAAAAAUAUCAACAUACUAGGUAUAUAGUUGUUACAUAUUUUUAGAAUUUAUUCAAAUGUGCAGACAAGUUUAAAGGCUCUGUACAAACUGUGGAUGAGGUUUUAAAAGAAAAUUCAGUUAGAAUUAGGGUUUCCAAUCAGUUUUAACCAAAAACCGAAAGCAGCGGUUUUCUGUCAAAACUGAUAAAACCGUCGGUUUUCAAAAAUGGUUUUGCGGAUUUUUGUAUA